AGCUUUUUGAAUCCGUGCGGAGAUUUCAUCACAAACCGAUUUAUUAGGGCUGAUCAAACUUCCAAGAUAAGUGAAGUU
Molecule: non-coding RNA, 78 nt
Organism: Schistosoma rodhaini
Lineage: Eukaryota; Metazoa; Platyhelminthes; Trematoda; Strigeidida; Schistosomatidae
Source: Rfam